RNAcentral lists this ribosomal RNA (988 nucleotides) under Cordyceps sp. NHJ12118. Its description in RNAcentral is "SSU rRNA". It matches the Rfam family "Eukaryotic small subunit ribosomal RNA", at positions 71 to 1068 of the family's 1831-position model. Lineage: Eukaryota; Fungi; Ascomycota; Sordariomycetes; Hypocreales; Cordycipitaceae. The record is from RNAcentral.
CAAUUAUACAGCGAAACUGCGAAUGGCUCAUUAUAUAAGUUAUCGUUUAUUUGAUAGUACCUUACUACUUGGAUAACCGUGGUAAUUCUAGAGCUAAUACAUGCUAAAAAUCCCGACUUCGGAAGGGAUGUAUUUAUUAGAUUAAAAACCAAUGCCCCUCGGGCUCUCUGGUGAUUCAUGAUAACUUCUCGAAUCGCACGGCCUUGCGCCGGCGAUGGUUCAUUCAAAUUUCUUCCCUAUCAACUUUCGAUGUUUGGGUAGUGGCCAAACAUGGUUGCAACGGGUAACGGAGGGUUAGGGCUCGACCCCGGAGAAGGAGCCUGAGAAACGGCUACUACAUCCAAGGAAGGCAGCAGGCGCGCAAAUUACCCAAUCCCGAUCCGGGGAGGUAGUGACAAUAAAUACUGAUACAGGGCUCUUUCGGGUCUUGUAAUUGGAAUGAGUACAAUUUAAAUCCCUUAACGAGGAACAAUUGGAGGGCAAGUCUGGUGCCAGCAGCCGCGGUAAUUCCAGCUCCAAUAGCGUAUAUUAAAGUUGUUGUGGUUAAAAAGCUCGUAGUUGAACCUUGGGCCUGGCUGGCCGGUCCGCCUCACCGCGUGUCACUGGUCCGGCCGGGUCUUUCCCUCUGUGGAACCACAUGCCCUUCACUGGGCGUGGCGGGGAAACAGGACUUUUACUUUGAAAAAAUUAGAGUGCUCCAGGCAGGCCUAUGCUCGAAUACAUUAGCAUGGAAUAAUGAAAUAGGACGUGCGGUUCUAUUUUGUUGGUUUCUAGGACCGCCGUAAUGAUUAAUAGGGACAGUCGGGGGCAUCAGUAUUCAAUUGUCAGAGGUGAAAUUCUUGGAUUUAUUGAAGACUAACUACUGCGAAAGCAUUUGCCAAGGAUGUUUUCAUUAAUCAGGAACGAAAGUUAGGGGAUCGAAGACGAUCAGAUACCGUCGUAGUCUUAACCAUAAACUAUGCCGACUAGGGAUCGGACGAUGUUAUUU